This 466-nucleotide ribosomal RNA is filed under the name bacterium enrichment culture clone V1_172_790-8.fa. Its description in RNAcentral is "bacterial SSU rRNA". It matches the Rfam family "Bacterial small subunit ribosomal RNA", at positions 59 to 500 of the family's 1533-position model. The record is from RNAcentral.
CAGUGGACGAGAUAUCCUUCGGGAUAUCUUAGUGGCGAACGGGUGAGUAACGCGUGGGUAACCUACCCUUUUAUCGGGGAUAACUUGCCGAAAGGUGAGCUAAUACCGGAUGUGCUAUUUCGAUCACAUGACCGAAAUAACAAAGGUGGCCUCUAUUUAUAAGCUACCGUAAGAGGAUGGACCCGCGUCUGAUUAGCUAGUUGGUGGGGUAACGGCCUACCCAAGGCGACGAUCCAGUAGCCGGCCUGAGAGGGUGAACGGCCACACUGGGACUGAGACCACGGCCCCAGACUCCUACGGGAGGCAGCCAGUGGGGAAUCUUCCGCCAAUGGGACGAAAGUCUGACGGAGCAACGCCGCGUGAGUGACGAAGGUUUUCGGAUUGUAAAACUCUGUCUUUUGGGACGAACGGUUCAUAUGUAAAUAAUGUAUGAAAUUGACGGUACCGAAGGAGGAAGCCCGGCUAA